UGAAGAAAAAGCAUCGGCUAACUCCAUGCCAGCAGCCGCGGUAAUACGGAGGAUGCAAGCGUUAUCCGGAAUCAUUGGGCGUAAAGGGUCCGCAGGUGGCGAAUAAAGUCUGCUGUUAAAGACCGGGGCUAAACUCCGGAAAGGCAGUGGAAACUGAUUAGCUAGAGUACGGUAGGGGUAGAGGGAAUUCCCAGUGUAGCGGUGAAAUGCGUAGAUAUUGGGAAGAACACCGGUGGCGAAAGCGCUCUACUAGGCCGAAACUGACACUGUGGGACGAAAGCUAGGGUAGCGAAAGGGAUUAGAUACCCCUGUAGUCUUAGCGGUAAACGAUGGAUACUAGGUGUAGCUUGUAUCGACCCGAGCUGUGCCGAAGCUAACGCGAUAAGUAUCCCGCCUGGGGAGUACGCACGCAAGUGUGAAACUCAAAGGAAUUGACGGGGGCCCGCACAAGCGGUGGAGUAUGUGGUUUAAUUCGAUGCAAUGCGAAGAACCUUACCAGGGCUUGACAUGUCGCGAAUCUAGCGGAAACGUUAGAGUGCCUUAGGGAAUGCGAACACAGGUGGUGCAUGGCUGUCGUCAGCUCGUGUCGUGAGAUGUUGGGUUAAGUCCCGCAACGAGCGCAACCCUCGUCCUUAGUUGCCAAUAUUAAGUUAGGCACUCUAGGGAGACUGCCGGGGACAACUCGGAGGAAGGUGGGGAUGACGUCAAGUCAGCAUGCCCCUUACGUCCUGGGCGACACACGUACUACAAUGGUUGGGACAAAGGGCAGCAAACUCGCGAGAGUAAGCGAAUCUCAUCAAACCCAGCCACAGUUCAGAUUGCAGGCUGCAACUCGCCUGCAUGAAGUAGGAAUCGCUAGUAAUCGCAGGUCAGCAUACUGCGGUGAAUUCGUUCCCGGGCCUUGUACACACCGCCAGUCACACCAUGGAAGCUGGCUACGCCCGAAGUCGUUACCCUAACCCGGUUUUGGGAGGGGGAUGCCGAAGGUAGAGCUAGUGACUGGGGUGAAGUCGCAACAAGGUAGCCGUACCGGAAGGUGUGGCUGGAUCACCUCCUUUACAGGGAGACCUAGUCUAAUUACCAAUAGAUAAAAAAGUUGGUAAUUCGCAAGAAUCCUUAGGUCGUGAGGGGAGCAAGAAAAAACUUUCAAACUGUAAUGGGUGAGGGUCAAUGGGCUAUUAGCUCAGGUGGUUAGAGCGCACCCCUGAUAAGGGUGAGGUCCCUGGUUCAAGUCCAGGAUGGCCCACCUAAAAUACACAGGCAUCCUGCCUGUGCCACAAAAAAGGAAAAAGUUUUGGCAUUGUCUCUUGUAAUCAAGAGCAAGAGAUAAUGCUGGAAUAGAUU
Molecule: unclassified non-coding RNA, 1344 nt
Filed under: uncultured cyanobacterium
Lineage: Bacteria; Bacillati; Cyanobacteriota
Description: bacterial SSU rRNA
Rfam family: Bacterial small subunit ribosomal RNA (bases 1-1058)
Source: RNAcentral